UACGAAGGGGGCUAGCGUUGCUCGGAAUUACUGGGCGUAAAGGGAGCGUAGGCGGGUUAUCAAGUUGGAGGUGAAAGCCCAGGGCUCAACCUUGGAAUUGCCUUCAAAACUGAUAGCCUAGAGUAUGAUAGAGGUAUGUGGAACCUCGAGUGUAGAGGUGAAAUUCGUAGAUAUUCGGAAGAACACCAGUGGCGAAGGCGACAUACUGGGUCAUGACUGACGCUGAGGCUCGAAAGCGUGGGGAGCAAACAGG
Molecule: ribosomal RNA, 253 nt
Filed under: uncultured bacterium
Lineage: Bacteria
Description: partial 16S ribosomal RNA
Rfam family: Bacterial small subunit ribosomal RNA
Source: RNAcentral